AGCUUUGUGCAGUGGCAGUAUCAUAUCCAAUGAGGUUUAUCCGAGGCGUGAUUAUUGCUGAUUGAAAACUUUUCCCAAUACCCCACAUGACGACUUGAAACAUAGAUGGCAUUGGCAAUUUUUGACAGUCUCUACAGAGA
This is a small nuclear RNA of Suncus etruscus (white-toothed pygmy shrew), 140 nucleotides long. RefSeq annotates it as U4 spliceosomal RNA. NCBI's taxonomy places the organism in Eukaryota, Metazoa, Chordata, Mammalia, Eulipotyphla, Soricidae. The record is from RefSeq and is a predicted model, not a curated record. The transcript has a single exon.